AGAGUUUGAUCCUGGCUCAGGACGAACGCUGGCGGCGUGCUUAAUACAUGCAAGUCGAGCGAGGUUACUGUUUUGGAUCCCUUCGGGGUGAAGAAGCUUUAACCUAGCGGCGGACGGGUGAGUAACGCGUGGGUAACCUACCCCAAAGUCCGGGAUAACAGCGGGAAACCGCUGCUAAUACCGGAUGCCUUUACCUUGGGGCAUCUUGAGGUAAAGAAAGGCAACGCUUUGGGAUGGGCCCGCGUCCCAUUAGCUAGUUGGUGAGGUAACGGCUCACCAAGGCGACGAUGGGUAGCCGGCCUGAGAGGGUGGACGGCCACACUGGGACUGAGACACGGCCCAGACUCCUACGGGAGGCAGCAGCAGGGAAUAUUGCGCAAUGGACGGAAGUCUGACGCAGCGACGCCGCGUGAGCGAUGAAGGUCUUCGGAUCGUAAAGCUCUGUCCUUGGGGAAGAAGGCGAAAGCUUGACGGUACCCAAGAAGAAAGCCCCGGCUAACUACGUGCCAGCAGCCGCGGUAAUACGUAGGGGGCGAGCGUUGUCCGGAAUUACUGGGCGUAAAGGGUGCGUAGGCGGCCCUUUAAGUCGGAUGUGAAAGCCCGCGGCUUAACCGCGGAAUGGCAUUCGAAACUGGAGGGCUUGAGUGUCGGAGAGGGUAGUGGAAUUCCCAGUGUAGCGGUGAAAUGCGUAGAUAUUGGGAGGAACACCAGUGGCGAAGGCGACUACCUGGACGAUAACUGACGCUGAGGCACGAAAGCUAGGGGAGCAAACAGGAUUAGAUACCCUGUAGUCCUAGCCGUAAACGAUGGGUACUAGGUGUGGGGUGGUUUCGAUACCAUCCGUGCCGUAGUUAACGCAUUAAGGUACCAAUCCCGCGGCCAUGGCGGCCGGGAGCAUGCGACGUCGGGCCCAAU
Molecule: ribosomal RNA, 915 nt
Filed under: uncultured bacterium
Lineage: Bacteria
Description: bacterial SSU rRNA
Rfam family: Bacterial small subunit ribosomal RNA
Source: RNAcentral